This 501-nucleotide ribosomal RNA is filed under the name uncultured bacterium. RNAcentral describes it as "partial 16S ribosomal RNA". It matches the Rfam family "Bacterial small subunit ribosomal RNA", at positions 30 to 523 of the family's 1533-position model. The record is from RNAcentral.
AUUGAACGCUGGCGGCAGGCUUAACACAUGCAAGUCGAGCGGAGCGAGGGUGCUUGCACCUUAGCUUAGCGGCGGACGGGUGAGUAAUGCUUAGGAAUCUGCCUAUUAGUGGGGGCCAACAUUCCGAACGGGAUGCUAAUACCGCAUACGCCCUACGGGCGAAAGCAGGGGAUCUUCGGACCUUGCGCUACUAGAUGAGCCUAAGUCGGAUUAGCGAGUUGGUGGGGUAAAGGCCUACCAAGGCGACGAUCUGUAGCGGGUCUGAGAGGAUGAGCCGCCACACUGGGACUGAGACACGGCCCAGACUCCUACGGGAGGCAGCAGUGGGGAAUAUUGGACAAUGGGCGGAAGCCUGAUCCAGCCAUGCCGCGUGUGUGAAGAAGGCCUUUUGGUUGUAAAGCACUUUAAGCGAGGAGGAGGCUACUAGUAUUAAUACUACUGGAUAGUGGACGUUACUCGCAGAAUAAGCACCGGCUAACUCUGUGCCAGCCGCCGCCGUAA